CAGUCGCCGCGGUAAUACGAAGGGGGCUAGCGUUGUUCGGAUUUACUGGGCGUAAAGCGCACGUAGGCGGAUCGAUCAGUCAGGGGUGAAAUCCCAGAGCUCAACUCUGGAACUGCCUUUGAUACUGUCGAUCUGGAGUAUGGAAGAGGUGAGUGGAAUUCCGAGUGUAGAGGUGAAAUUCGUAGAUAUUCGGAGGAACACCAGUGGCGAAGGCGGCUCACUGGUCCAUUACUGACGCUGAGGUGCGAAAGCGUGGGGAGCAAGCAGGAUUAGAUACCCCUGUAGUCCCUGUCUCUUAUAC
RNAcentral lists this ribosomal RNA (301 nucleotides) under uncultured bacterium. RNAcentral describes it as "partial 16S ribosomal RNA". It matches the Rfam family "Bacterial small subunit ribosomal RNA", at positions 509 to 807 of the family's 1533-position model. The record is from RNAcentral.